RNAcentral lists this non-coding RNA (96 nucleotides) under Legionella spiritensis. Its description in RNAcentral is "Legionella sp. TPP sequence". It matches the Rfam family "TPP riboswitch aptamer (THI element)". Rfam says of the family: Vitamin B(1) in its active form thiamin pyrophosphate (TPP) is an essential coenzyme that is synthesised by coupling of pyrimidine and thiazole moieties in bacteria. Lineage: Bacteria; Pseudomonadati; Pseudomonadota; Gammaproteobacteria; Legionellales; Legionellaceae. The record is from RNAcentral.
UUUUAUCGCCAGGGGUGCUGACUUCGGUUAGCUGAGACAUACCCUUAGUACCUGCUCUGGAUAAUGCCAGCGAAGGAAGAGUGAAUUAUGUAUAGU